GAGUUUGAUCAUGGCUCAGAAUGAACGCUGGCGGCGUGGAUUAGGCAUGCAAGUCGGACGGGCAUAGCAAUAUGUCAGUGGCGACCUGGUUAGUACAAGUUGGGUAACCUGCCGGAAAGUGGGGAACAACCUCUCGAAAGAGGGGCUAAUACCGCAUGUGGUCACGGGGUCUUAGGAACCUGUGACGAAAGCAGCGAUGCGCUUUCCGAUGGGCCCGACCACCAUUAGCUUGUUGGUAGGGUAAUGGCCUACCAAGGCGACGAUGGUUAGCUGGCCUGAGAGGGUGGUCAGCAACACGAGGACUGAGAUACGGCCUCGACUCCUACGGGGGGCAGCAGUCUAGAGGCUUCGGCAAUGGACGAAAGUCUGACCGAGCGACGCCGCGUGGAGGAUGAAGGUCUUCGGAUUGUAAACUCCUUUCGGCUGGAAGGAAAGGGUAGGUGGCGAACUUACCUGUGACCGACCGGCGGAAGAAGCCCCGGCUAACUUCGUGCCAGCAGCCGCGGUAAUACGAAGGGGGCAAGCGUUAUUCGGAUUUAUUGGGCGUAAAGGGCGUGUAGGUGGCUUGAAAAGUCUGGUGUGAAAACGCUACCGCUCAACGGAGCGAAUGCGCUGGAUACUUUCAAACUUGAGUUCGAGAGAGGCAGGCAGAAUACCUGGUGUAGCGGUGGAAUGCUUAGAGAUCAGGUAGAAUACCCGAGGCGAAGGCGGCCUGCUGGCUCGUAACUGACACUGAGGCGCGAAAGCGUGGGGAUCAAACGGGAUUAGAUACCCCGGUAGUCCACGCUGUAAACGGUGAAUACUAGGUGUAGGGGGUACCCAUUCCCUCUGUGCCGUCGUUAACACAGUAAGUAUUCCGCCUGGGAAGUACGGCCGCAAGGUUGAAACUCAAAGGAAUUGACGGGGGCCCGCACAAGCGGUGGAGCAUGUGGUUUAAUUCGACGCAACGCGAAGAACCUUACCUGGGCUCGAAAUGCAGCUUACAGAGGAUGAAAGUCCUUGCCCUUCGGGGGUGCUGCAUAGGUGCUGCAUGGCUGUCGUCAGCUCGUGUCGUGAGAUGUUGGGUUAAGUCCCGCAACGAGCGCAACCCCCGUCCUUAGUUGCCAGCACGUAAUGGUGGGGACUCUAGGGAGACUGCCCCGGAUAACGGGGAGGAAGGUGGGAUGACGUCAAGUCAUCAUGGCCCUUACGUCCAGGGCUACACACGUGCUACAAUGGCUGAGACAAUGCGCCGCCACUUGGCGACAAGGAGCGAAUCGCAUAAACUCGGUCCCAGUUCAGAUUGGAGGCUGCAACCCGCCUCCAUGAAGAUGGAAUCGCUAGUAAUCGCAGAUCAGCUACGCUGCGGUGAAUAUGUUCCCGGGCCUUGUACACACCGCCCGUCACGUCACGAAAGUUGGUUGUACCAGAAGUCGCUGUAGGAACCGCAAGGACCAAGGCGCCGAAGGUAUGACUAGUAAUUGGGACGAAGUCGUAACAAGGUA
RNAcentral lists this ribosomal RNA (1484 nucleotides) under metagenome. RNAcentral's name for it is "bacterial SSU rRNA". It matches the Rfam family "Bacterial small subunit ribosomal RNA". The record is from RNAcentral.